Non-coding RNA from Pelobates cultripes (western spadefoot toad), 202 nucleotides. The record is from the annotation of a GenBank genome assembly. NCBI's taxonomy places the organism in Eukaryota, Metazoa, Chordata, Amphibia, Anura, Pelobatidae.
GAAGAAACUCCCAUAUUUACUCUGCAGACUCUUCCAACUGACCUAAAAAUCCUGCGGGAACAACAGGCUACAGUUGCCCCCGAAGAAAUACAGAAGUGGAAACAGAAAGGGGCAGUUCUGAAGGAUGGAGUGUACUCCAACAACCUCAAGUUCUGCCUCCCUAAGAAUUUGUACCCAGCAGUCGUACAAUGGGCACACGGAC